CCUACGGGGGGCAGCAGUGGGGAAUAUUGGACAAUGGGGGGAACCCUGAUCCAGCCAUGCCGCGUGUGUGAAGAAGGCCCUCGGGUUGUAAAGCACUUUCAGUGAGGAAGAACGCCUGGUGGUUAAUACCCAUCAGGAAAGACAUCACUCACAGAAGAAGCACCGGCUAACUCCGUGCCAGCAGCCGCGGUAAUACGGAGGGUGCGAGCGUUAAUCGGAAUUACUGGGCGUAAAGCGCGCGUAGGUGGCUUGAUAAGCCGGUUGUGAAAGCCCCGGGCUCAACCUGGGAACGGCAUCCGGAACUGUCAAGCUAGAGUGCAGGGGAGGAAGGUAGAAUUCCCGGUGUAGCGGGGAAAUGCGUAGAGAUCGGGAGGAAUACCAGUGGCGAAGGCGGCCUUCUGGACUGACACUGACACUGAGGUGCGAAGGCGUGGGUAGCAAACAGGAUUAGAUACCCGUGUAGUC
RNAcentral lists this ribosomal RNA (465 nucleotides) under Vreelandella stevensii. RNAcentral describes it as "partial 16S ribosomal RNA". It matches the Rfam family "Bacterial small subunit ribosomal RNA", at positions 338 to 795 of the family's 1533-position model. The record is from RNAcentral. Lineage: Bacteria; Pseudomonadati; Pseudomonadota; Gammaproteobacteria; Oceanospirillales; Halomonadaceae.